GAUAAGAACGUAGCGAAAUGCGAUAAGUAGUGUGAAUUGCAGAAUUCAGUGAAUCAUCGAAUCUUUGAACGCACAUUGCGCCCCUUGGUAUCCCGAGGGGCAUGCCUGUUCGAGCGUCAUUUCACCACUCAAGCCUGGCUUGGUGUUGGGCGACGUCCCCUUUGGGGACGCGCCUCGAAACGCUCGGCGGCGUGGCACCGGCUUUAAGCGUAGCAGAAUCUUUCGCUUUGGAAGUCGGGGCCCCGUCUGCCGGAAGACCUACUCGCAAGGUUGACCUCGGAUCAGGCAGGGAUACCCGCUGAACUUAAGCAUAUCAAUAAGCGGAGGA
Molecule: unclassified non-coding RNA, 328 nt
Filed under: soil metagenome
Description: partial contains 5.8S ribosomal RNA, internal transcribed spacer 2, and large subunit ribosomal RNA
Rfam family: 5.8S ribosomal RNA (bases 4-119)
Source: RNAcentral